Molecule: small nucleolar RNA, 107 nt
Organism: Eutrema salsugineum
Lineage: Eukaryota; Viridiplantae; Streptophyta; Magnoliopsida; Brassicales; Brassicaceae
Rfam family: Plant small nucleolar RNA R71
About the family: R71 is a member of the C/D box family of snoRNAs containing the C (UGAUGA) and D (CUGA) box motifs.
Source: Rfam
AAUCCAUGGUGAGGGGAUUACAUGGUAUACCCUCUAAAUGAUUCCCAAGCCUGACAAAAUGAUUCAUGGUUCGUCUGAAUAAAACUUGAGAUUUCAUUUCUUAACCU